CUCCUCAGGAAAACGACAGGCGUUCGCCCGCCCCUCUUUCUGGGAAGAGAUGAGGAGGGGGACUUCUCCCGGGAGACUCGGGCGUCGAAAUUCCUCGUUCCUCAUCCUGCGGCCCCCGCACCCCUCCUCCCGGCAAGGCACCCUCUCCCCUCCCCAGCCAUCUGUUCCUCUAGGCAGCGCAGCGACAAACACGGCUUAGCUUGCUUCCGCCCCUGCCCAGCCCCCUCCCCAAACUCCCCCCAUCCCCGGGAGAGGGAGAAUGAUGACACCCCUCUCCUAGAAGGCCCACACGUCGGCCUCCAUCUCUCACUGAACCCCUAGCCUCAGCUGGACAGGGUAACUGUGGAGGCCCCCCUUUUCCCCUGGGGGGGUCCGUGGAGCUGGAGAGAGAAUGCUUCAAAGCUGUGGAUCGGAGGAAGGCGUGGAGGAGACCGGGAAAAAGCCAAAGCAAACAGAGACCUCCCUGAACUUUCGUCAUUUGAAGAUGGGUGGGUCAUCUUCUUUAUUUAUCCCUCAAGAGAAGACAGAACAAACAGAGGAAGCUUAUCCAGAAUGCUAUCUUCCAGCCCUGGCUUGUGGGGGUCCUCCACGGGGUAGGGGCCGAGAGGAUGAAUCAGGACUCAACUGGGGUCACUCCAAAGUCAGAGAUGCAUUGGUGCUUUGUCUGCAUGUAUGUCUGUGGGAGGGUGUCAGAUGUUGGACUUACAGACAAUUGUCGGUGUCAGAAAUUGAACCUGGGGUCCUCUGGAAGAGCCGUCAGUGCUCCUAACCCCUGAGCCAUCCCUCCAGCCCCAGUGUUUUCUUUAAAUGUGAAUAAUUUUAAAGCAUCCCUUUAAUAUUUAAAUAAAUGUAAACACAGUGUAGCAUAAAGCUCAAAAUUUCCC
This 884-nucleotide long non-coding RNA is filed under the name Cricetulus griseus (Chinese hamster). RNAcentral's name for it is "lncRNA (ENSCGRG00015038261.1)". The record is from RNAcentral. Lineage: Eukaryota; Metazoa; Chordata; Mammalia; Rodentia; Cricetidae.